This is a non-coding RNA of Aedes albopictus (Asian tiger mosquito), 73 nucleotides long. Lineage: Eukaryota; Metazoa; Arthropoda; Insecta; Diptera; Culicidae. The record is from Rfam.
UGUUCUGUGGCUUAGUUGGUUAAACCGCCGUACUAGCGAUACGAAGCCGUGGGUUCGGAUCCCACCGAAACAA